ACCGGGACCACAGGUGCUAGCAAAUGCUCUCAAUCCUUCCUGUCAUCAUAAGAUGGAAAGUGCCUUGAUGAACAGGUACUCGGGAAGGAUGGGAAUUCAGAGGACACUAUUUUCUAAGGUGGUGGCUAUCAAAGCCUAUACUGUGGCACAUUUUAGAUUCUUUAGUCUGGGCUGACCUGCCUUCGGUGACAGUGGGAUAUAUGAUUAUUCCUGCCUGGGUGCAGGGCUGAGCCUCCUGUUUUCGUAGACAGUCAUGUUCACGGCCACCAUGCCCCCAGCGGUGGAGCGUCUGGCCAGGAGCUAUCUUCGGCGACCUGCUGUGGUGUACAUUGGCUCCGCAGGCAAGCCCCAUGAGCGUGUGGAACAGAAGGAAAAAGCUGCUGGCAAUCUUGGAGCAAGGCUUUGACCCACCCAUCAUCAUUUUUGUCAACCAGAAGAAGGGCUGCGACGUGUUGGCCAAAUCCCUGGAGAAGAUGGGGGUGUGUCUGGCAGGGGAGAACAAAGUCUAGCCUCUGUGGCACUGCUUUCUGAAUCUAGCAGGGCCCCCUAGGCUC
RNAcentral lists this small RNA (554 nucleotides) under Pan troglodytes (chimpanzee). RNAcentral describes it as "retained intron". The record is from RNAcentral. Lineage: Eukaryota; Metazoa; Chordata; Mammalia; Primates; Hominidae.